This 501-nucleotide ribosomal RNA is filed under the name uncultured bacterium. Its description in RNAcentral is "partial 16S ribosomal RNA". It matches the Rfam family "Bacterial small subunit ribosomal RNA", at positions 30 to 523 of the family's 1533-position model. The record is from RNAcentral.
AUUGAACGCUGGCGGCAUGCCUUACACAUGCAAGUCGAACGGCAGCACGGGUGCUUGCACCUGGUGGCGAGUGGCGAACGGGUGAGUAAUAUAUCGGAACGUACCUUAUUGUGGGGGAUAACGCAGCGAAAGCUGUGCUAAUACCGCAUAAUCCCUAAGGGGGAAAGCGGGGGACCGUAAGGCCUCGCGCAAUUAGAGCGGCCGAUACCUGAUUAGCUAGUUGGUGAGGUAAAGGCUCACCAAGGCAACGAUCAGUAGCUGGUCUGAGAGGACGAUCGGCCCCACUGGGACGGAGACACGGCCCAGACUCCUACGGGAGGCAGCAGUGGGGAAUUUUGGACAAUGGGGGCAACCCUGAUCCAGCAAUGCCGCGUGAGUGAAGAAGGCCUUCGGGUUGUAAAGCUCUUUUGUCAGGGAAGAAACAGCAGCUCUAACACAGUAUGCGAAUGACGGUACCUGAAGAAUAAGCACCGGCUAACUACGUGCCAGCAGCCGCCGUAA